AACGAACGCUGGCGGCAUGCCUAACACAUGCAAGUCGAACGAUUGCCUCCGGGUGAUAGUGGCGCACGGGUGCGUAACGCGGGGGAAUCUGCCCUUAGGUGCGGAAUAACAGAUGGAAACGGCUGCUAAUACCGGAAGAUAUCGCGAGAUCAAAGAAUUAUCGCCUGAGGAUGAGCCCGAGUAAGAUUAGGUAGUUGGUGGGGUAAAAGCCUACCAAGCCGACGAUCCAUAGCUGGUCUGAGAGGAUGAUCAGCCACACUGGGACUGAGACACGGCCCAGACUCCUACGGGAGGCAGCAGUGGGGAAUAUUGGACAAUGGGCGAAAGCCUGAUCCAGCAAUGCCGCGUGAGUGAUGAAGGCCCUAGGGUUGUAAAGCUCUUUUACCCGGGAAGAUAAUGACUGUACCGGGAGAAUAAGCCCCGGCUAACUCCGUG
This 435-nucleotide ribosomal RNA is filed under the name uncultured bacterium. RNAcentral's name for it is "partial 16S ribosomal RNA". It matches the Rfam family "Bacterial small subunit ribosomal RNA", at positions 29 to 507 of the family's 1533-position model. The record is from RNAcentral.